RNAcentral lists this transfer RNA (71 nucleotides) under Bacteriophage sp. RNAcentral describes it as "tRNA-Asn". It matches the Rfam family "tRNA". From Rfam's summary of the family: Transfer RNA (tRNA) molecules are approximately 80 nucleotides in length. The record is from RNAcentral.
GGGAAUAUAGCUCGAAGGUCGAGCAAAAGACUGUUAAUCUUUAGGUGUGGGUUCGAUUCCCUCUAUUCCCG